AAGUCGUAACAAGGUUUCCGUAGGUGAACCUGCGGAAGGAUCAUUAUUGAGAUAGUCAGAACUGACUUAGUUCAGUCCCAACCCAAGCGUUUGAAAAUAUUAGCGGAAUGGGCAGUAAUACAAUCGGCAUGACCGUUUGAAUCCAAGGGCAGCUAUCCACCCGUGUAUAUAUACUCUGUUGCUUUCCGGGCGUCAUACCCCGGAGAGAACCCAACUCUUGAAUUUUAUGGAACGUCUGAGUACUAUAUAAUAGUUAAGA
This 259-nucleotide unclassified non-coding RNA is filed under the name plant metagenome. RNAcentral describes it as "partial contains small subunit ribosomal RNA and internal transcribed spacer 1". The stretch from base 1 to 46 matches the Rfam family "Eukaryotic small subunit ribosomal RNA", at positions 1786 to 1831 of the family's 1831-position model. The record is from RNAcentral.